This 340-nucleotide ribosomal RNA is filed under the name uncultured bacterium. Its description in RNAcentral is "partial 16S ribosomal RNA". It matches the Rfam family "Bacterial small subunit ribosomal RNA", at positions 338 to 675 of the family's 1533-position model. The record is from RNAcentral.
CCUACGGGAGGCAGCAGUGAGGAAUAUUGGUCAAUGGGCUUACGCCUGAACCAGCCAAGUCGCGUGAGGGAAGACUGCCCUAUGGGUUGUAAACCUCUUUUGUCAGGGAGCAACGCCGGCUACGUGUAGCCGGACUGAGAGUACCUGAAGAAAAAGCAUCGGCUAACUCCGUGCCAGCAGCCGCGGUUAUACGGGGGAUGCGAGCGUUAUACGGAUUUAUUGGGUUUAAAGGGUGCGUGGGCGGAAUGCCAAGUCCGCGGUAAAAUCGCGGGGCUCAACCUCGCUCCGCCGUUGAAACUGGCGGUCUUGAGGGGGCGAGAAGGAUGCGGAAGUGGUGGUG